Molecule: ribosomal RNA, 498 nt
Filed under: uncultured bacterium
Lineage: Bacteria
Description: bacterial SSU rRNA
Rfam family: Bacterial small subunit ribosomal RNA
Source: RNAcentral
UAGUCCACGCCGUAAACGAUGUGUGCUAGAUGUCGGGCCCUCAGGGUUCGGUGUCGCAGCUAACGCACUAAGCACACCGCCUGGGGAGUACGGUCGCAAGAUUAAAACUCAAAGGAAUUGACGGGGACCCGCACAAGCGGUGGAGCAUGUUGUUUAAUUCGAAGCAACGCGAAGAACCUUACCUACACUUGACAUACUCGUCGGGGAUUUGAGAGAUCAUUUCCUUCGGUUCGGCCGGACGAUGUACAGGUGCUGCACGGCUGUCGUCAGCUCGUGUCGUGAGAUGUUUGGUUAAGUCCAGCAACGAGCGCAACCCCUAUCGUAUGUUGCCAGCAUUCAGUUGGGCACUCAUGCGAGACUGCCGGUGUUAAGCCGGAGGAAGGUGAGGACGACGUCAAGUCAUCAUGGCCCUUACGUGUAGGGCUACAAACGUGCUACAAUGGCUACUACAGUGGGCAGCGAGGUCGCGAGGCCAAGCUAAUCCCCAAAAGUAGUCUC